AGACAGUAAGACAGAUCCUAAUGUCAAAGCCACAACAUGAACAGCUAUACAUCAUGGACAAAGAAUAACUAAAGGCUCUUUAGAAAGGAGGAUUCUAAGAAUGAGAUCCAUCGGUAACCUGGAUCCUGUACACCGAAAGUAUGAAGCAGCAUAAUCUAAUUACAAAGAGUGGUAGGUGAAGAAACACAAGAUAUGCAACUACUAAGGAGGCUAAUGAAAUCCAUGAACAGAAGGUACAUAUGAAAGCCAUUGCUUCUGAGUAAGGGCAAAUGCCCCAUUUAUGAUAUCAUUUCUUGGCAGAGGCCUGAGUCAUUGAUGAGUUGCAGGCUGUAGAUACAUUGCUACAGUAUUCAACCCAUAAAUGUUCAUCCUGUUUGAUUGUGGGGCAUAUUAAAUAAUGUGAAAGAGAUAAAGAAGAGACUGAAGCCAUGCUAUCUUUCAUUGAUGAACUAUUUACUUCGUUUUAGCUACCACCUCCUUUACCCAUAAUUUGGAAAUAAAAAUAAAAAUUAAAUAUAGUUUUGUAAGUAGAAUAUGAAGUUUUUUAUUGGCUACUCAGCUGUAAAAAUGUUGGAAGAGCACGUAGUUCUUGUGGUUGAUAGCUCCUACAAUCAAAUAUGUGUAUGUUGGUACACUAUUGUUUUGUAAUUUUUGUUAAUACUAGUAUUUUAUUUUGAGUAA
Molecule: long non-coding RNA, 681 nt
Organism: Pistacia vera
Lineage: Eukaryota; Viridiplantae; Streptophyta; Magnoliopsida; Sapindales; Anacardiaceae
Exons: 2
Source: RefSeq, a predicted model, not a curated record